GCCAGACUGUAUGGGCUUAUGGCGGAUGCCUUGGUGACAGAAGGCGAUGAAGGACGUGGCAAGCUGCGAUAAGCCGCGGGUAGGCGCAUGCCGCCUUUGAUCCGCGGAUUUCCGAAUGGAGCAAUCCGGCGUCCCUGAUGGGGCGUCAUUGCGCGCUGAACACAUAGGCGCGCAAGGCAAUACCCGGGGAAGUGAAACAUCUCAGUACCCGGAGGAAAAGAAAACAACAGUGAUUCCGCCAGUAGUGGCGAGCGAACGCGGAACAGCCUAAACCGGCAGGCUUGCCUGCCGGGGUUGCGGGACCAGCAACAAAGCAGAAAGCGGACCAAGCGCGAGACUCUGGAAAGUGUCGCCGCAGCGGGUGAUAGCCCCAUGCGCGUAAACUCCUCUCCCUGCGAGCUGGCUCCCAAGUAGGACGGGACACGUGAAACCCCGUCUGAAUCCGGAGGGCCCACCCUCCAAGGCUAAAUACUAUCUGUCAACCGAUAGCGCACAAGUACCGCGAGGGAAAGGUGAAAAGAACCCCGCAAGGGGAGUGAAAUAGAACCUGAAACCAUAAGCCUGCAAGCUGUGGGAGCCGGAAUUUCCGGUGACCGCGUGCCUUUUGCAUAAUGAGCCUGCGAGUUGUCCUGCGCGGCAAGGUUAAGUCGAAGACCUGGCCGAAGCGAAAGCGAGUGCGAACAGCGCGAUUCAAGUCGCGCGGGGCAGACCCGAAACUGAGUGAUCUAUCCAUGGCCAGGCCGAACCCCCGGUAACGCGGGGUGGAGGGCCGAACCAGUACAUGUUGAAAAAUGUUUGGAUGAGCUGUGGAUAGGGGUGAAAGGCCAAUCAAACUCAGUGAUAGCUGGUUCUCUCCGAAAUAGCUUUAGGGCUAGCCCCAGGAUUUAUGAACGCGGGGGUAGAGCGACUGUUCGGCAGCGGGUCCCCACCGGGAUGCCAAAGCCGGCCAAACUCCGAAUACCGCGUCUCUUUGCCUGGGAGUCAGACCCCGGGGGAUAAGCUCCGUGUGGUCGAAAGGGAAACAGCCCGGACCGCCGUCUAAGGCCCCUAAUAGCGCGUUGAGUGGUUUUAAGGAAGUGGAGUCGCACAGACAGCUAGGAUGUUGGCUUAGAGGCAGCCACCAUUUAAAGAUUGCGUAACAGCUCACUAGCCGAGUGAUUCCGCGCCGAAAAUGAUCGGGACUGAAACGCGCAGCCGAAGACGCGGAAUGUGUUCAUUCACAUUGGUAGGAGAGCGUCCCGUGCAGGCUGAAGGUCAAGCGUGAGCGAGGCUGGACCGCACGGGAGUGAUCAUGCAGGCAUGAGUAACGAAAAGGAGGGUGAGAAUCCCUCCCGCCGAAAGUCCAAGGUUUCCUGGGCCAGGUUCGUCCGCCCAGGGUUAGUCGGCUCCUAAGGCGAGGCCGAAAGGCGUAGUCGAUGGACAGCGGGUUAAUAUUCCCGCACCGCAUUCUGCCAGCGAUGGCGUGACGCGGAAGGCCGGGCAGGCCCCCUGCUGGAAUAGGGGGUCCAAGCGCGCAGGGCGCUGUGCAGGAAAAUCCGCACAGCAAUAGCCUGAGGCGUGACGGGGUGCAACUCCUGCGGGAGGAGCGAAGCUGCCGCCGGCCAUGCCGCCGAGAAAAGCGUCUAAGCGUUUUAACGCAUUAUGCGACCGUACCUAAACCAACACAGGUGGACUGGUUGAACAAACCGAGGCGCUCGGGAGAAACCACGUUAAGGAACUCGGCAAACUAGCCCCGUAACUUAGGGAUAAGGGGUGCUCGGAGCGGUUGGCUCUACUAGCGAUUGCAGGCCGCGCCGAGCCGCAGUGAAAAGGCCCAGGCGACUGUUUAACAAAAACAUAGCACUCUGCCAAGUCGCAAGACGACGUAUAGGGUGUGACACGUGACCAAUGCCGAAAGGUCAAGCGGAAGGGUCAGCGGCAACGCGAAGCCCGGAUGUGAAGCCCCGGUGAAUGUCGGCCGUAACUAUAACGGUCCUAAGGUAGCGAAAUUCCUUGUCGGGUAAGUUCCGACCUGCACGAAUCGUGUAACGAUCUGGGCGCUGUCUCAACGUGGAUCCCGGUGAAGUUGUAGUUCCGGUGAAAAUGCCGGAUACCUGCGGAAGGACGGAAAGACCCCAUGAACCUUUACUGUAGCCUGGCACUGGCGGCUGGGCGUCCAUGUGUAGAAUAGGUGGGAAGCUUUGAAGCUCCGGCGCCAGCCGGGGCGGAGCUGCCUGUGAAAUACCACCCUUGGACGUCUGGUUUUCUAACCGGAGAGCGUGAAUCCGCCUCCGGGACCCUGCCAGGCGGUCAGUUUGACUGGGGCGGUUUCCUCCCAAAAUGUAACGGAGGAGUUCGAAGGUCGGCUCGCCGCGUUUGGCAAUCGCGGGACAGAGCGCAAGGGCAUAAGCCGGCCUUACUGCAAGACCGACGGGUCGAGCAGUCGCGAAAGCGGGACCUAGUGAUCCAGCGGUUGAAUGUGGCAUCGCCGUUGCUCAUCGGAUAAAAGGUACUCUGGGGAUAACAGGCUGAUCGCGCCCAAGCGUCCACAGCGACGGCGCGGUUUGGCACCUCGAUGUCGGCUCAUCACAUCCUGGGGCUGAAGCAGGUCCCAAGGGUUCGGCUGUUCGCCGAUUAAAGUGUUACGCGAGCUGGGUUCAGAACGUCGUGAGACAGUUCGGUCCUUAUCCUCCGCAGGCUAAGGACGGUUGACGGGCGCGCCCCCUAGUACGAGAGGACCGGGGGCGGGUGACCUCUGGUGUUCCGGUUGUCUGGCCUACGGGCAUUGCCGGGUAGCUAUGUCGCGACAGGAUAAGCGCUGAAAGCAUCUAAGCGCCAAGCCCCCCCGAAGAAGGCCGUCCCUGGUCGCAAGACCCUAAAGACCCCCGGAAGACCACCGGGUUGACAGGGCGCAAGUGGAAGACCCGCGAGGGUUGCAGCUUAGCGCUACUGAUAGGUCGUGAGGUCUGGCCGC
This 2953-nucleotide ribosomal RNA is filed under the name metagenome. Its description in RNAcentral is "bacterial LSU rRNA". It matches the Rfam family "Bacterial large subunit ribosomal RNA". The record is from RNAcentral.